AAAUCACAUAAUUGUUGUGCCUGGGAAAUAUUUCUGAGCCCCCGAGGAAGUUCUGAAACGACCUUUAGCAACUUGUCCAUUUUUUGACUGAGGAGGUGAUUUUGUGCUGCUGCUGCGUCUUCAGUGGGGAGAUGUAAAAGUCCUCCUCUUUGCGUGCCUCUUUCAUUCUGUGACACUUCAUUGAGAGCCAUCUCUUCAAUUAAGUUGUACGCCUCAUCCUCUGUCUUUCUAUUAAUACUACCUGCAGCUGAGGCAUCUAUCAUCAUUUUAGACUCAGCGCGCAAACC
This 287-nucleotide long non-coding RNA is filed under the name Vigna radiata. RNAcentral describes it as "long non-coding RNA (VRAD_LNC005971)". Lineage: Eukaryota; Viridiplantae; Streptophyta; Magnoliopsida; Fabales; Fabaceae. The record is from RNAcentral.